UUAAAGACGAUAAGGUAGAUAGGUUCAAGGUGUAAGUGUGGUAACACAUUCAGCUGAUGAAUACUAAUAGAUCGAAGGUUUAUUCUA
Molecule: ribosomal RNA, 87 nt
Filed under: Pseudobutyrivibrio ruminis
Lineage: Bacteria; Bacillati; Bacillota; Clostridia; Lachnospirales; Lachnospiraceae
Description: partial 23S ribosomal RNA
Rfam family: Bacterial large subunit ribosomal RNA
Source: RNAcentral